RNAcentral lists this ribosomal RNA (484 nucleotides) under uncultured bacterium. Its description in RNAcentral is "partial 16S ribosomal RNA". It matches the Rfam family "Bacterial small subunit ribosomal RNA", at positions 30 to 507 of the family's 1533-position model. The record is from RNAcentral.
AUUGAGCGCUAGCGGGAUGCUUUACACAUGCAAGUCGAACGGCAGCGCGGACUUCGGUCUGGCGGCGAGUGGCGAACGGGUGAGUAAUGUAUCGGAACGUGCCCAGUAGCGGGGGAUAACUACGCGAAAGCGUAGCUAAUACCGCAUACGCCCUACGGGGGAAAGCAGGGGAUCGUAAGACCUUGCACUAUUGGAGCGGCCGAUAUCGGAUUAGCUAGUUGGUGAGGUAACGGCUCACCAAGGCGACGAUCCGUAGCUGGUUUGAGAGGACGACCAGCCACACUGGGACUGAGACACGGCCCAGACUCCUACGGGAGGCAGCAGUGGGGAAUUUUGGACAAUGGGGGCAACCCUGAUCCAGCCAUCCCGCGUGUGCGAUGAAGGCCUUCGGGUUGUAAAGCACUUUUGGCAGGAAAGAAACGUCGCGGGCUAAUACCCCGUGGAACUGACGGUACCUGCAGAAUAAGCACCGGCUAACUACGUG